CUGACAGGCCCGUUUGAGUCACACAGGGCUUCAGUCUGACUCCUGAUAUCAGACAACAUAGCUGGAUUUUGGAGUUCUUCACUAGUAAAUGUAGGCAGGAUUUACCUACUGAGGCGUCUGCUGAGUUCAAGUGUACAUGCACCUUCGUUCUUAAUGUCAGCAAUUGAAACGCCCGACAGUGCCAAGCAGCGGUGAGGCCACACGACAGGAGUGGAAUUGGGCAGCGCUGUGCUGCUCUGAUCCAUGUUGAAGUUCUGUUUUAGGAAAUUCCUUUGCUCCUGGUGUUCUGCUUCCUUCAAGGAAAGGGCUCAACUGAUCACCUCAGCCAAG
Fukomys damarensis (Damara mole-rat) is the source of this 330-nucleotide long non-coding RNA. RefSeq lists it as uncharacterized. NCBI's taxonomy places the organism in Eukaryota, Metazoa, Chordata, Mammalia, Rodentia, Bathyergidae. The transcript is spliced from 3 exons. The record is from RefSeq and is a predicted model, not a curated record.